RNAcentral lists this transfer RNA (77 nucleotides) under Oscillospiraceae bacterium. RNAcentral describes it as "tRNA-Ile". It matches the Rfam family "tRNA". From Rfam's summary of the family: Transfer RNA (tRNA) molecules are approximately 80 nucleotides in length. Their secondary structure includes four short double-helical elements and three loops (D, anti-codon, and T loops). Further hydrogen bonds mediate the characteristic L-shaped molecular structure. tRNAs have two regions of fundamental functional importance: the anti-codon, which is responsible for specific mRNA codon recognition, and the 3' end, to which the tRNAs corresponding amino acid is attached (by aminoacyl-tRNA synthetases). tRNAs cope with the degeneracy of the genetic code in two manners: having more than one tRNA (with a specific anti-codon) for a particular amino acid; and 'wobble' base-pairing, i.e. permitting non-standard base-pairing at the 3rd anti-codon position. Lineage: Bacteria; Bacillati; Bacillota; Clostridia; Eubacteriales; Oscillospiraceae. The record is from RNAcentral.
GGGCCUUUAGCUCAGCUGGUUAGAGCAUCCGGCUCAUAACCGGGGUGUCCGGGGUUCGAGUCCCUGAAGGCCCACCA